This 270-nucleotide ribosomal RNA is filed under the name uncultured archaeon. Its description in RNAcentral is "partial 16S ribosomal RNA". It matches the Rfam family "Archaeal small subunit ribosomal RNA", at positions 477 to 747 of the family's 1478-position model. The record is from RNAcentral.
CUGCAGCCCGAGUGGUGGUCGAUAUUAUUGAGCCUAAAGCGUCCGUAGCCGGACUAGUAAAUUCUUGGGUAAAUCGGGCAGCUUAACUGUCCGACUUCCGAGGAGACUGCUAGUCUUGGGACUGGGAGAGGUCAGAGGUACUCCAGGGGUAGGGGCUAAAUCCUGUAAUCCUUGGGGGACCACCAGUGGCGAAGGCGUCUGACUAGAACGGAUCCGACGGUAAGGGACGAAGCCCUGGGGCGCAAACCGGAUUAGAUACCAGAGUAGUCC